CCUACGGGAGGCAGCAGUAGGGAAUAUUGCUCAAUGGGGGAAACCCUGAAGCAGCAACGCCGCGUGGAGGAUGAAGGUUUUAGGAUUGUAAACUCCUUUUGUUAGAGAAGAUUAUGACGGUAUCUAACGAAUAAGCAACGGGUAACUCCGUGCCAGCAGCCGCGGUAAUACGGCGGGUGCAAGCGUUACUCGGAAUCAAUGGGCGGAAAGAGUGCGUAGGCGGGGUAAUAAGUCAGAUGUGAAAUCCUUGAGCUUAACGAAAGAACUGAAUUUGAAACUGUUAAUCUGGAGUGUGGGAGAGGUAGGUGGAAUUCUUGGUGUAGGGGUAAAAUCCGUAGAGAUCAAGAGGAAUACUCAUUGCGAAGGCGACCAGCUGGAACAUUACUGACGCUGAUGAACGAAAGCGUGGGGAGCAAACAGGAUUAGAUACCCCUGUAGUC
Molecule: ribosomal RNA, 440 nt
Filed under: uncultured bacterium
Lineage: Bacteria
Description: partial 16S ribosomal RNA
Rfam family: Bacterial small subunit ribosomal RNA
Source: RNAcentral